GUCCUGGUAGCUCAGGUGGUAGAGCAACUGACUUUUAAUCAGUGGGUCGGGCGUUCGAUUCGCCUCCGGGACACCA
This 76-nucleotide transfer RNA is filed under the name Erysipelotrichaceae bacterium. Its description in RNAcentral is "tRNA-Lys". It matches the Rfam family "tRNA". From Rfam's summary of the family: Transfer RNA (tRNA) molecules are approximately 80 nucleotides in length. Their secondary structure includes four short double-helical elements and three loops (D, anti-codon, and T loops). Lineage: Bacteria; Bacillati; Bacillota; Erysipelotrichia; Erysipelotrichales; Erysipelotrichaceae. RNAcentral also lists the same sequence under 2 other names. The record is from RNAcentral.